GGCCUGUGGCUCAGGGUUAGUGCACUUGCCUGGCAUGUGUGAGGCACAGAGUUCGAUUCUCAGCACCA
RNAcentral lists this transfer RNA (68 nucleotides) under Marmota monax (woodchuck). Its description in RNAcentral is "tRNA.Ala". Lineage: Eukaryota; Metazoa; Chordata; Mammalia; Rodentia; Sciuridae. The record is from RNAcentral.